Molecule: long non-coding RNA, 884 nt
Organism: Thunnus maccoyii (southern bluefin tuna)
Lineage: Eukaryota; Metazoa; Chordata; Actinopteri; Scombriformes; Scombridae
Exons: 9
Source: RefSeq, a predicted model, not a curated record
GACAUGCGUAGUGCGACAUCUAGUGACGACGGUUGGCGGGCUUCUAUUUUAUUCACCGACAGCAAAUUCACCGCCACUAACUGCCGACUGCUACUGCGUUUCUGCGGGCCCACUGACAGUCAGACCCCUACUGUGCCUUUUAUGGAGUGGAUGGCACCACCUGCCCCAUCUUACUUCAGCCAGAUAGACGACUUUUGUCCCCAUCCUCUUGGAAGGAGCCACUCUGCACCGCCAUGGCACCAGAACAGUCUGACACAGAGAAGGCUGAGAUAUGUACAACUCUGAGCACCCUGUAUGAGGUCAUCAGCAGCAACAGCAGUCCUGCAGUAAGAUUCAUAACCAGCAGGUGCUGCUUUAUCCCAGUGCCCUGACUGGGAGUGCUGGCCAGUGUUUUGAAGUCAUUGAAGAGAGAGGGGGGUCCUCUAAGGGAGAACCACCUCCACAGGUUCCAGCUUGAUAGGUACUGCACCAGGCCGACGUAGAUGUCUGAUCCAGAGGCUCCUGACCUUUAAUAAAUAAAAGUCAUAGGGUGUCGUGUGUGGCCUCUUUGUCAAGGAGUUAGCUAUGGCCAUUUGGGGACAGCUACCCUGAAAACAAGGAGCCCAACCACCACCCCUUGACCCCAACAGAAUUGAAGUCACUGAGAGGUCCAAACCUUCAGGUGCACAAGGAAGAAAAUGGAGAAAAGAGGAGGAAAAGAAAGCCCAAUAUAGAGAUGCUCUCAGGAAACAUCUGCAGAAGCCUCCAGCUGCUGGAGAAGUUACAUCUGAUCUCCCAUCUACACCAAACUCUGAAGCAGAUUUGCCUGCAGGUGAAGGAACAACAAGCACAACAUUCACUGCUACUCUACAGCCUGCAGACACCAUCAACUGGAACAGAUCCUG